GCCGAAGUAGCUCAGUGGUAGAGCGGCUGUUUUGUAAACAGCGGGUCGCGGGUUCGAAUCCUGUCUUCGGCUCCA
This 75-nucleotide transfer RNA is filed under the name Chthonomonas sp. Its description in RNAcentral is "tRNA-Thr". It matches the Rfam family "tRNA". Rfam says of the family: Transfer RNA (tRNA) molecules are approximately 80 nucleotides in length. Their secondary structure includes four short double-helical elements and three loops (D, anti-codon, and T loops). Lineage: Bacteria; Bacillati; Armatimonadota; Chthonomonadia; Chthonomonadales; Chthonomonadaceae. RNAcentral also lists the same sequence under 1 other name. The record is from RNAcentral.